GGUAGCACGGGCAGGCACCACGUGGUGCCCUGAGGGCUCAUGGGAACUGUAGUCUCGGAUUCUCCCCACUGGUGGGUCCCAUCCAACCAGUUGAAAGCUUGACUAGAACAAAAGACUGACCCACUCCGGAGUAAGAGAGACUUCCUUCUGCCUGACUGCUUUGAGACCCGGACAUUGGCUUUUCUCAGCCUUCAGACUCAGAAGUAAACACUGGCUCCAUCUGGGUCUUAGACUCGGCCUUUGGACUGGAACUACACCAUUGGUUCUCAGGCCUUUGAACUUGGACUGGAACUAUAUCAUCAGUUCUCCUGGGUCUCCAGCUUGCCAACUUACCCUGAAGAUCUUGGGGAUCUUGGGAUUUAUUAGCUUCCAUAAUCAAAAAGCCAAUUUUUUAUAAUAAAACUAUCUAUCAAAAUA
Homo sapiens (human) is the source of this 417-nucleotide long non-coding RNA. RefSeq lists it as uncharacterized. NCBI's taxonomy places the organism in Eukaryota, Metazoa, Chordata, Mammalia, Primates, Hominidae. The record is from RefSeq and is a predicted model, not a curated record. The transcript is spliced from 2 exons.